Long non-coding RNA from Ornithodoros turicata, 514 nucleotides. RefSeq lists it as uncharacterized. Lineage: Eukaryota; Metazoa; Arthropoda; Arachnida; Ixodida; Argasidae. The transcript has 3 exons. The record is from RefSeq and is a predicted model, not a curated record.
GUCGUAAUGUCUGAUAGCAAAUUUAGCGAUAGUGACGGGUCCCUGUCACUAAGCGGUGAAGAUGAGCUCAUCGGCGCCGAUCGAUUGAAGAACCGGGGACGUCGACGAACCUUUAGCUACUGACCCUUUGCCACAACAACGUGGUUAGCCAGUGAAAGUAGUGGAUGAUCCGGAAUCGAUUGACGGGUGUGUGUGUAGCCACUGCUCGCCAAUACCAGCAUGUGUUGUGCGCACAAUCCGGAACCUGUUUCGAUCCGUCACGUACACAUGGUGUUGUAUUCUCCUGAAAGGUGUUGUAAGAUUUGGGCAUUUCGUCAUAUGUAUCAGAACUUGGAUAGACUGCUGAAGAAAGCUGCUCUCUCUAUCCAUUCCCGCAAGCGGCAGGAGGUUGUCAACGUGAUAAGUGAAGGCUUUCCAUUCAUGUCAUUACACCUGGAGCAAAUGACAAAAUCAAGGAUAAGCUGAUCUAUGUCAACGUCUUCAAUUACCCCUGGCCUAUGAAAAAAAAAAGCCC